CUGGCAUCUAACUUUCACUCUGUUGCUUAUCUUUUUCGGAUUCAGUGUGCUUUGGCAGCAAUAGUGAUAUCUGCCGUUAGUGGCUUGGUGGACUAUGACGAAGCUAUUUUCCUGUGGCGUGUGGACAAGAGGGAUUUUACGCUUUGGACCAUCACUAGCACAACGACAUUGUUCUUUGGAAUAGAGAUCGGUGUCCUUGUUGGUGUUGGUUUUUCACUAGCAUUCGUGA
This is a non-coding RNA of Camelina sativa (false flax), 229 nucleotides long. Lineage: Eukaryota; Viridiplantae; Streptophyta; Magnoliopsida; Brassicales; Brassicaceae. The record is from RefSeq and is a predicted model, not a curated record.